RNAcentral lists this ribosomal RNA (403 nucleotides) under uncultured bacterium. RNAcentral describes it as "partial 16S ribosomal RNA". It matches the Rfam family "Bacterial small subunit ribosomal RNA", at positions 30 to 526 of the family's 1533-position model. The record is from RNAcentral.
AUUGAACGCUGGCGGCAGGCCUAACACAUGCAAGUCGAGCGAGCGGCGGACGGGUGCGUCAUGUAUGGGGACUGCCCGAUAGAGGGGGAUAACUACUGGAAACGGUAGCUCAUACCGCAUACUAUCGGAUAACCCAUAUGGGAUUCGCUAGUUGGUGAGGUACUGGCUCUCCAAGGCGACGAUCCCUAGCUGGUCUGCGAGGAUGAUCAGCCACCCUGGGACGUAGACACGGCCCAGACUCCUACGGAGGCAGCAGUGGGGAAUAUUGCACAAUGGGCGCAAGCCUGAUGCAGCCAUGCCGCGUGUAUGAAGAAGGCCCUAGGUUUGUAAAGUACUUUCAGUCGGGAGGCGUUACCGACAGAAGAAGCACCGGCUAACUCCGUGCCAGCAGCCGCGGUAAUUC